This 655-nucleotide ribosomal RNA is filed under the name uncultured bacterium. RNAcentral describes it as "bacterial SSU rRNA". It matches the Rfam family "Bacterial small subunit ribosomal RNA", at positions 8 to 653 of the family's 1533-position model. The record is from RNAcentral.
AGAGUUUGAUCCUGGCUCAGAUUGAACGCUGGCGGCAUGCCUAACACAUGCAAGUCGAGCGGAAACGACAGGAGCUUGCUCCUGGGCGUCGAGCGGCGGACGGGUGAGUAACGCGUGGGAACGUGCCCUGUAGUUGGGGAUAACCCGGGGAAACUCGGGCUAAUACCGAAUAUGCUCUACGGAGCAAAGGAGGCCUCUGAUUCAAGCUUUCGCUACAGGAUCGGCCUGCGUCCGAUUAGCUAGUUGGUGAGGUAAUGGCUCACCAAGGCCACGAUCGGUAGCUGGUCUGAGAGGAUGAUCAGCCACAUCGGGACUGAGACACGGCCCGAACUCCUACGGGAGGCAGCAGUGGGGAAUAUUGGACAAUGGGGGAAACCCUGAUCCAGCAAUGCCGCGUGUGUGAAGAAGGCCUGCGGGUUGUAAAGCACUUUCAGUAGUGAGGAAAACUCUGGGACGAAUAAUCCCGGAGCUUGACAUUAGCUACAGAAGAAGCACCGGCUAACUCCGUGCCAGCAGCCGCGGUAAUACGGAGGGUGCAAGCGUUAAUCGGAAUUACUGGGCGUAAAGCGUGCGUAGGCGGUUUAGUAAGUCGGGUGUGAAAGCCCCGGGCUCAACCUGGGAAUUGCAUCCGAUACUGCUGAACUAGAGUGUGACA